Long non-coding RNA from Hibiscus syriacus, 556 nucleotides. RefSeq lists it as uncharacterized. The record is from RefSeq and is a predicted model, not a curated record. NCBI's taxonomy places the organism in Eukaryota, Viridiplantae, Streptophyta, Magnoliopsida, Malvales, Malvaceae. The transcript has 3 exons.
UACCAUUUCCUUGUAGAGUCUUUGAUUUAGUGCACUGUGCACGGUGUAGGGCGCCUUGGCAUAUUGAAAACGGCAUGCUUCUGCUAGAACUGAACCGUGUUCUUAGACCUGGAGGAUAUUUUGUCUGGUCAGUGACGCCUGUCUACCAGAAUCUUCCGGAGGAUGUGAAAAUUUGGAAGGCGAUGUCGACCCUGACGAAAUCCAUUUGUUGGGAACUUGUGACCAUCAAAAAGGACAAAUUGAAUUACAUCGUUGCCGCCAUCUAUCGCAAACCGACCUCAAAUGAAUGCUUAUGACAAAAGGCCGGAGUAAUCCACCAAUGUGCGAUGAAAAUGAUGAUGCAAAUGCUGUCUGGCAUGUACCCCUGCAGGCAUGCAUGCACCAUGUGCCGGUAAAUCAGGCCGAAAGAGGAGCACGAUGGCCUGCGAACUGGCCUAAUCGGCUGCAGAAAGCUCCUUACUGGUUGAACCGAUCCCAGAUGGGGAUUCACGGAAAACCGGCUCCUCAAGACUUUGCAAAAGACUAUGAACACUGGACUCGAGUAGUGAGCAAGUUG